AGUGAACGCUGGCGGCGUGCCUAAUACAUGCAAGUCGAACGGAGUGGGGACGGGUGAGUAACACAUGGGUAACCUCCCAUCAGAGGGGAUAACACUUGGAAACAGGUGCUAAACCGAUACUGAUGGAUGGUCCCGGGGUGCAUUAGCUAGUUGGUGGGGUAACGGCUCACCAAGGCCACGAUGCAUAGCCGACCUGAGAGGAGGAUCGGCCACACGGGAACUGAGACACGGCCCAGACUCCUACGGGAGGCAGCAGUAGGGAAUCUUCGGCAAUGGGCGAAAGUCUGAUCGAGCAACGCCGCGUGAGUGAAGAAGGUUUUCGGAUCGUAAAGCUCUGUUGUUAGAGAAGCGGUAUCUAACCAGAAAGCCACGGCUAACUACGUGCCAGCAGCCGCGGUAAUAC
Molecule: ribosomal RNA, 403 nt
Filed under: uncultured bacterium
Lineage: Bacteria
Description: partial 16S ribosomal RNA
Rfam family: Bacterial small subunit ribosomal RNA
Source: RNAcentral